This 490-nucleotide ribosomal RNA is filed under the name uncultured bacterium. RNAcentral describes it as "partial 16S ribosomal RNA". It matches the Rfam family "Bacterial small subunit ribosomal RNA", at positions 30 to 507 of the family's 1533-position model. The record is from RNAcentral.
AUUGAACGCUGGCGGCAGGCCUAACACAUGCAAGUCGAACGGUAACAGGAAGAAGCUUGCUUCUUUGCUGACGAGUGGCGGACGGGUGAGUAAUGUCUGGGAAACUGCCUGAGGGAGGGGGAUAACUACUGGAAACGGUAGCUAAUACCGCAUAACGUCGCAAGACCAAAGAGGGGGACAUUCGGGCCUCUUGCCAUCGGAUGUGCCCAGAUGGGAUUAGCUAGUAGGUGGGGUAACGGCUCACCUAGGCGACGAUCCCUAGCUGGUCUGAGAGGAUGACCAGCCACACUGGAACUGAGCCACGGUCCAGACUCCUACGGGAGGCAGCAGUGGGGAAUAUUGCACAAUGGGCGCAAGCCUGAUGCAGCCAUGCCGCGUGUAUGAAGAAGGCCUUCGGGUUGUAAAGUACUUUCAGCGGGGAGGAAGGGAGUAAAGUUAAUACCUUUGCUCAUUGACGUUACCCGCAGAAGAAGCACCGGCUAACUCCGUG